This 136-nucleotide RNase P RNA is filed under the name Luteibacter sp. RNAcentral describes it as "partial RNase P RNA component class A". It matches the Rfam family "Bacterial RNase P class A", at positions 1 to 138 of the family's 367-position model. From Rfam's summary of the family: Ribonuclease P (RNase P) is a ubiquitous endoribonuclease, found in archaea, bacteria and eukarya as well as chloroplasts and mitochondria. Its best characterised activity is the generation of mature 5'-ends of tRNAs by cleaving the 5'-leader elements of precursor-tRNAs. Lineage: Bacteria; Pseudomonadati; Pseudomonadota; Gammaproteobacteria; Lysobacterales; Rhodanobacteraceae. The record is from RNAcentral.
GGAGUCGGCCGGACAGUCGCGUCGCGCCUUCGGGCGUAUCGAGGAAAGUCCGGGCUCCAUAGGGCAGGGUGCCAGGUAACCCCUGGGCAGCGUGAGCUGACGGCCAGUGCAACAGAGAGCAGACCGCCGAUGGCCC